GGCAAGACUGGUGUCAGCCGCCGCGGUAACACCAGCCCCUCGAGUGGUGGGGAUGAUUAUUUGGCCUAAAGCGUCCGUAGCUGGCCCUGUAAAUCUCUCGUUAAAUCCAACGUCCUAAGCGUUGGGCUGCGAGGGAAACUGCAGAGCUAGAGGGUGGGAGAGGUCAGCGGUAUUCCUGGGGUAGGGGCGAAAUCCAUUGAUCCCAGGAGGACCACCAGUGGCGAAGGCUGCUGACUUGAACACGCCUGACAGUGAGGGACGAAAGCUGGGGUAGCGAAUCGGAUUAGAUACCCGAGUAGUCCCAGCCGUAAACGAUGCAGGCUAGGUGUUGGGUCGGCCAUGUGCUGGCUCAGUGCCACAGGGAAGCCAUUAAGCCUGCCGCCUGGGA
RNAcentral lists this ribosomal RNA (388 nucleotides) under uncultured archaeon. Its description in RNAcentral is "bacterial SSU rRNA". It matches the Rfam family "Archaeal small subunit ribosomal RNA", at positions 445 to 833 of the family's 1478-position model. The record is from RNAcentral.